This 2007-nucleotide long non-coding RNA is filed under the name Homo sapiens (human). RNAcentral describes it as "HSALNT0282620". The record is from RNAcentral. Lineage: Eukaryota; Metazoa; Chordata; Mammalia; Primates; Hominidae.
UUGUUGCGGCCUUUGUUGAUGACAUUCAGCAUUGACUUCUUGGGUAAGGUAUUCAGUAGUUAAGAUUCAAUGACUCCAGUGAAAGGUAUGUUUCCAUCGUGAUGUUCUUCUUCUGGACAAUAAGUGAAAAGAGCAUGUGAGUACCUCUCUCACUCCCAGCAAAUAAUUGUUGUGUCACCUCCACAUGUUUCUUCACGAUUCGAGGCUUUGAUUUCCCCUGCAAGACAAAAUGCAAUGAAGUGAUACAGAAAAAAAGAAAUUCUAUGCUGUCAUCACACUAGACCAUGAUGUUGAUUUAUGGAUGGUCUGCUUUCUUAUAUGCACUUAAUAUUUUUGUACAAGCAAACCUGAAAAGUGUCAAAAUCCCCUUUAACAGAUUAACAGGCUGAGAUGGGUUAAAGUGAGCAAGCCGGGAAGUGGUGGAGCUGGGAUCCACACCCUGGUCUGUCUGAGUCCAGAUGUAAUCAUCUUGCAUUCACUAUGGCAUGUUUCCCUUAUGUUAAGGGUUGCUGACAUAGACAGUGCAUGUCAUUCCUUUUGGUAUGGUCUUCCUCCUUUCUAGCUUUUUUCUGCCUGGAAGAUCCAGGCACCCAAGAGAAUGGAGCUUCCAUGUAAAUUUGCAGAAUCCCUAGGAUGAAAGCGGAGAGGAUCUACCCUGAAACCAACAAGUCUAGGAUGCACAUCUCUGCCUUUUUUUCAGAAUUAGGAAGGGGCAGGCAGAUGGGCAAUUGACAGGAAUAGUAGAAGCAUCCUCGGGGAAGUUGGCUACUUUACUUAGUGAGAAAGCAAUGGAAAGUGACAUUUGUAACUGAGUUUUAAGUGAAGUACAGUCCUAAGAGAGGAGCUCUGAAAAACAGCUGUUACCUGAGAUUGGGAAUGUUAAAGACCUUCUCAGAGCCUGACUGUACUCACAGCUGGACCUAGCUAUCAGAAGAGGGACUGCAACAUACCUGAGAAACUUUCAGAAUACUUAACGGAAGCAGAGUCAGGGGAAGUGAUUUUGAUAGUAGUCCAUGAGAAAAAAAUACGGUGUUUUAAAAUGCAAAUGAACUAAAAUUUAAAUCCUGCUCUCUCAGUAGCUAUGCAGCCUUAGGCGAGUUAAUAUCUUUGACCUUAGUAUUUCUCAGGUGUAAAGAGGGAUAAUUACCUACUCAGAACUUCACCUCUCCCAAGAAAGCUUUCCUGACCAUGUGCUGGCCCUUCCUUUACAUUGGGAUUAAAGUACCCCCCCCCGUUUUUCCAGGCUUUCUUGACUUUAAUUCUGUCAUAGCUCUAAUUAAGAACCUCUGUAAUGAUCUGUCUGCAAGCUUGUGAGAAAUUUGAGGACUGGGAACCAGCCUGAAACAUGUCUGUUCCCCUCUGAGUCAACACAGUGCCUGGGAUCUGGUGUCCAGUAGGGAUUUAAAGCAUAUUGAUUGAAUGAGAAAUGAUGACAGGAUCUACAUGGAUCACAAAGGAUAGUUGUUAUUUUACCUGUUAACUAUUUAAUAGCGAAAUUAAAUGAAAUAUGAAUUAACCUAGGACCAGGGAAGGUGGGGUAAGUUGUGUCUUUCACAUCAACCUUCAUAUGUUCCCCAAUUUUUUCUUCCUUCAUGUACCUAGGACACUCUUGUUCAAACACAAAGGUGGUUUUAUUUUGGGUCUAUACUAGCUAGUUCCCUAGAAAGGUCUUAAAUACAAAAUGAAUGGAAUACAAAAUAACCUCCCUCAUUGUUUUUUUUCCCGGACAAAUGACAGGAUGCAUACAGAACUGCUACUUUUGUGAUGUUGCAAGUAAUGGUAUAGAUGUGCACAAAUCAUGGAUGUGGUCCCAGUGAUCCAUGGAAAUGUGAAGUCCAGAUGGAGUCUCGCUCUGUCACCAGGCUGGAGUGUACUGGCACGAUCUUGGCUCACUGCAACCUCUGCCUCCUGGGUUCAAGCAAUUCUCAUGCCUCACCCUCCCAAGUGGCUGGGAUUACAGGCAUAUGCCACCACACCCAGCUAAUUUUUGCAUUUUUAGUAGAGAUG